AAAUUGAAGAGUUUGAUCAUGGCUCAGAUUGAACGCUGGCGGCAGGCCUAACACAUGCAAGUCGAACGGUAGCACAGAGAGCUUGCUCUCGGGUGACGAGUGGCGGACGGGUGAGUAAUGUCUGGGAAACUGCCUGAUGGAGGGGGAUAACUACUGGAAACGGUGGCUAAUACCGCAUAACGUCGCAAGACCAAAGAGGGGGACCUUCGGGCCUCUUGCCAUCAGAUGUGCCCAGAUGGGAUUAGCUAGUUGGUGAGGUAACGGCUCACCAAGGCGACGAUCCCUAGCUGGUCUGAGAGGAUGACCAGCCACACUGGAACUGAGACACGGUCCAGACUCCUACGGGAGGCAGCAGUGGGGAAUAUUGCACAAUGGGCGCAAGCCUGAUGCAGCCAUGCCGCGUGUAUGAAGAAGGCCUUCGGGUUGUAAAGUACUUUCAGCGGGGAGGAAGGUGUUGUGGUUAAUAACCGCAGCAAUUGACGUUACCCGCAGAAGAAGCACCGGCUAACU
This 510-nucleotide ribosomal RNA is filed under the name Salmonella enterica. Its description in RNAcentral is "bacterial SSU rRNA". It matches the Rfam family "Bacterial small subunit ribosomal RNA", at positions 1 to 502 of the family's 1533-position model. Lineage: Bacteria; Pseudomonadati; Pseudomonadota; Gammaproteobacteria; Enterobacterales; Enterobacteriaceae. The record is from RNAcentral.